This 501-nucleotide ribosomal RNA is filed under the name uncultured bacterium. RNAcentral describes it as "bacterial SSU rRNA". It matches the Rfam family "Bacterial small subunit ribosomal RNA", at positions 903 to 1397 of the family's 1533-position model. The record is from RNAcentral.
AAAUGAAUUGACGGGGGCUCACACAAGCGGUGGAGCAUGUUGCUUAAUUCGAGGCAACGCGAAGAACCUUACCUGGGUUUGACAUGCUUGGAUUAACUCCUUGAAAGAGGAGCCACACCCUCUGGGUGGAACAAGCACAGGUGCUGCAUGGCUGUCGUCAGCUCGUGCUGUGAAGUGUCAGGUUAAGUCCUUUAACGAGCGCAACCCCUAUCGUUAGUUGCUCACGGGUCAUGCCGAGUACUCUAGCGAGACUGCCGGUGUCAAACCGGAGGAAGGUGGGGAUGACGUCAAGUCCUCAUGGCCCUUACAUCCAGGGUUGCAAACGUGCUACAAUGGUGCGCACAAAGCGACGCAAGAGCGCAAGCUGGAGCAAAUCGCAAAAAACGCACCCCAGUUCGGAUUGCAGGCUGCAACUCGCCUGCAUGAAGUCGGAAUCGCUAGUAAUCGGAGAUCAGCUACGCUCCGGUGAAUGUGUUCCUGAGCCUUGUACACACCGCCCGU